GACGAACGCUGGCGGCGUGCUUAACACAUGCAAGUCGAACGGUGAAGCGCCUUCCUUUUUGGUGGGUGUGGAUGAGUGGCGAACGGGUGAGUAACACGUGAGUAACCUGCCCCCUUCUUCUGGAUAACCGCAUGAAAGUGUGGCUAAUACGGGAUAUUCUGGGUCUGUCGCAUGAUGGGUCUGGGAAAGAUAUUGUUUCGGUGGGGGAUGGGCUCGCGGCCUAUCAGCUUGUUGGUGGGGUGAUGGCCUACCAAGGCGGUGACGGGUAGCCGGCCUGAGAGGGUGGACGGUCACACUGGGACUGAGACACGGACCAGAAUCCUACGGGAGGCAGCAGUGGGGAAUAUUGCACAAUGGGCGCAAGCCUGAUGCAGCGACGCCGCGUGAGGGAUGGAGGCCUUCGGGUUGUGAACCUCUUUCGCCAGUGAAGCAGGCCUGCCUCGUUUGUGGGUGGGUUGACGGUAGCUGGAUAAGAAGCGCCGGCUAACUACGU
This 493-nucleotide ribosomal RNA is filed under the name uncultured bacterium. Its description in RNAcentral is "partial 16S ribosomal RNA". It matches the Rfam family "Bacterial small subunit ribosomal RNA", at positions 28 to 506 of the family's 1533-position model. The record is from RNAcentral.